GCUGAGGACUCUGGCGGAACUGCCGGUGACAAACCGGAGGAAGGUGGGGAUGACGUCAAGUCAUCAUGGCCCUUAUGUCCAGGGCUACACACGUGCUACAAUGGUUGGUACAAAGCGAUGCAAAACCGCGAGGUUAGAGCAAAGCGCAAAAAGCCAACCGUAGUUCGGAUUGAAGUCUGAAACUCGACUUCAUGAAGUUGGAAUCGCUAGUAAUCGCACAUCAGCACGGUGCGGUGAAUACGUUCCCGGGCCUUGUACACACCGCCCGUCACACCAUCCGAGUUGGAGGUACCCGAAGCCGGUAGUCUAACCUGCAAAGGAGGACGCUGUCGAAGGUACGUUUAGUGAGGAGGGUGAAGUCGUAACAAGGUAG
This 373-nucleotide ribosomal RNA is filed under the name uncultured Treponema sp. Its description in RNAcentral is "bacterial SSU rRNA". It matches the Rfam family "Bacterial small subunit ribosomal RNA", at positions 1130 to 1499 of the family's 1533-position model. Lineage: Bacteria; Pseudomonadati; Spirochaetota; Spirochaetia; Treponematales; Treponemataceae. The record is from RNAcentral.